GCCGGGGUCUCCUAGCCUGGAAGGGAGCAGGCCUGGAGAGCCUGUGCCCCGCACGGGGCGCGCGGGUUCAAAUCCCGCCCCCGGCGCCA
This 89-nucleotide transfer RNA is filed under the name Thermoproteota archaeon. Its description in RNAcentral is "tRNA-Ser". It matches the Rfam family "tRNA". Rfam says of the family: Transfer RNA (tRNA) molecules are approximately 80 nucleotides in length. Their secondary structure includes four short double-helical elements and three loops (D, anti-codon, and T loops). Lineage: Archaea; Thermoproteati; Thermoproteota. The record is from RNAcentral. RNAcentral also lists the same sequence under 1 other name.